GUGGUGGCUCAGUGGUAGAGUGCACUUCUAGCAUGCAUGAGGCACUGGGUUCGAUCCUCGGCACCACA
Molecule: transfer RNA, 68 nt
Filed under: Marmota monax (woodchuck)
Lineage: Eukaryota; Metazoa; Chordata; Mammalia; Rodentia; Sciuridae
Description: tRNA.Ala
Source: RNAcentral